This 254-nucleotide ribosomal RNA is filed under the name uncultured bacterium. RNAcentral's name for it is "partial 16S ribosomal RNA". It matches the Rfam family "Bacterial small subunit ribosomal RNA", at positions 524 to 776 of the family's 1533-position model. The record is from RNAcentral.
UACGAAGGGGGCUAGCGUUGCUCGGAAUCACCGGGCGUAAAGGGUGCGUAGGCGGGUCUUUUAAGUCAGGGGUGAAAUCCUGGAGCUCAACUCCAGAACUGCCUUUGAUACUGAAGAUCUUGAGUUCGGGAGAGGUGAGUGGAACUGCGAGUGUAGAGGUGAAAUUCGUAGAUAUUCGCAAGAACACCAGUGGCGAAGGCGGCUCACUGGCCCGAUACUGACGCUGAGGCACGAAAGCGUGGGGAGCAAACAGG